UACAGAGGAUGCAAGCGUUAUCCGGAAUGAUUGGGCGUAAAGCGUCUGUAGGUGGCUUUUUAAGUCCGCCGUCAAAUCCCAGGGCUCAACUCUGGACAGGCGGUGGAAACUACCAAGCUGGAGUACGGUAGGGGCAGAGGGAAUUUCCGGUGGAGCGGUGAAAAGCGUAGAUAUCAGGAGGAACACCGAUGGCGAAGGCAGGUCUCUGGGCUGACACUGACGCUCAUGCACGAAAGCGUGGGGAGCAAACAGG
This 253-nucleotide ribosomal RNA is filed under the name uncultured bacterium. RNAcentral describes it as "partial 16S ribosomal RNA". It matches the Rfam family "Bacterial small subunit ribosomal RNA", at positions 524 to 776 of the family's 1533-position model. The record is from RNAcentral.